RNAcentral lists this ribosomal RNA (374 nucleotides) under Asterionellopsis glacialis. RNAcentral's name for it is "partial Eukaryotic small subunit ribosomal RNA". It matches the Rfam family "Eukaryotic small subunit ribosomal RNA", at positions 1241 to 1634 of the family's 1831-position model. Lineage: Eukaryota; Bacillariophyta; Plagiogrammaphyceae; Rhaphoneidales; Asterionellopsidaceae. The record is from RNAcentral.
UGACAGAUUGAGAGCUCUUUCUUGAUUCUAUGGGGGGUGGUGCAUGGCCGUUCUUAGUUGGUGGAGAGAUUUGUCUGGUUAAUUCCGUUAACGAACGAGACCUUAACCUGCUAAAUAGUCCGCGUAACCUCUGUGUUGCGUGCUUGGCUUCUUAGAGGGACUAUCGGUAUCCAACCGAUGGAAGUUUGAGGCAAUAACAGGUCUGUGAUGCCCUUAGAUGUUCUGAACCGCACGCGUGUUACACUGAUGCAUUCAACGAGCUAUUAACCUUGGCCGAGAGGCCUGGGAAAUCUUGGAACGUGCAUCGUGAUAGGGAUUGAUUAUUGUAAUUUUUAAUCAUGAACGAGGAAUUCCUAGUAAACGCAGAUCAUCAA